This 253-nucleotide ribosomal RNA is filed under the name uncultured bacterium. RNAcentral describes it as "partial 16S ribosomal RNA". It matches the Rfam family "Bacterial small subunit ribosomal RNA", at positions 527 to 779 of the family's 1533-position model. The record is from RNAcentral.
CGAAGGGGCUAGCGUUGUUCGGAAUUACUGGGGCGUAAAGCGCGCGCAGGCGGCUAUCCAAGUCAGUGGUGAAAGCCCGGAGCUCAACUCCGGAACUGCCAUUGAAACUGUUUAGCUUGAGGACGAGAGAGGUGAGUGGAAUUCCCAGUGUAGAGGUGAAAUUCGUAGAUAUUGGGAAGAACACCGGUGGCGAAGGCGGCUCACUGGCUCGUAUCUGACGCUCAGGCGCGAUAGCGUGGGAUCAAACAGGAUU